Triticum aestivum (bread wheat) is the source of this 135-nucleotide non-coding RNA. NCBI's taxonomy places the organism in Eukaryota, Viridiplantae, Streptophyta, Magnoliopsida, Poales, Poaceae. The record is from Rfam.
CAAAUAUUCCCUUCGUCCGGAAAUACUUGUCAUCAAAAUGGAUAAAAGGAAAUGUAUCUAGACGUAUUUUAGUUUUAUAUACAUCUCUUUUUAUCCAUUUUUAUGACAAGUAUUUUCAGAUGGAGGGAGUAGAAA